GGAGAGAUGGCCGAGCGGUUUAAGGCGCACGCCUGGAAAGCGUGUUCAUGCGGAAGUGUGUCAGGGGUUCGAAUCCCCUUCUCUCCGCCA
Molecule: transfer RNA, 90 nt
Filed under: Candidatus Phycorickettsia trachydisci
Lineage: Bacteria; Pseudomonadati; Pseudomonadota; Alphaproteobacteria; Rickettsiales; Rickettsiaceae
Description: tRNA-Ser
Rfam family: tRNA
About the family: Transfer RNA (tRNA) molecules are approximately 80 nucleotides in length. Their secondary structure includes four short double-helical elements and three loops (D, anti-codon, and T loops). Further hydrogen bonds mediate the characteristic L-shaped molecular structure. tRNAs have two regions of fundamental functional importance: the anti-codon, which is responsible for specific mRNA codon recognition, and the 3' end, to which the tRNAs corresponding amino acid is attached (by aminoacyl-tRNA synthetases). tRNAs cope with the degeneracy of the genetic code in two manners: having more than one tRNA (with a specific anti-codon) for a particular amino acid; and 'wobble' base-pairing, i.e. permitting non-standard base-pairing at the 3rd anti-codon position.
Source: RNAcentral